GUGAGGAAUAUUGGUCAAUGGGCGGGAGCCUGAACCAGCCAAGUCGCGUGAAGGAAGAAGGAUCUAUGGUUCGUAAACUUCUUUUGCAGGGGAAUAAAGUGCGGGACGUGUCCUGUUUUGUAUGUACCCUGAGAAUAAGGAUCGGAUAACUCCGUGCCAGCAGCCGCGGUAAUACUGAGGAUCCGAGCGUUAUCCGGAUUUAUUGGGUUUAAAGGGUGCGUAGGUGGUUUGAUAAGUCAGCGGUGAAAGUUUGCAGCUUAACUGUAAAAAUGCCGUUGAAACUGUCGGACUUGAGUGUAAAUGAGGUAGGCGGAAUGCGUGGUGUAGCGGUGAAAUGCAUAGAUAUCACGCAGAACUCCGAUUGCGAAGGCAGCUUACUAAGCUACAACUGACACUGAAGCACGAAAGCGUGGGGAUCAAACAGGAUUAGAAACCCGGGUAGUCC
RNAcentral lists this ribosomal RNA (445 nucleotides) under uncultured bacterium. RNAcentral describes it as "partial 16S ribosomal RNA". It matches the Rfam family "Bacterial small subunit ribosomal RNA", at positions 354 to 796 of the family's 1533-position model. The record is from RNAcentral.